GCAUGUGGUUUAAUUCGAAGCAACGCGAAGAACCUUACCAGGUCUUGACAUCCUUUGACCACUCUGGAGACAGAGCUUUCCCUUCGGGGACAAAGUGACAGGUGGUGCAUGGUUGUCGUCAGCUCGUGUCGUGAGAUGUUGGGUUAAGUCCCGCAACGAGCGCAACCCUUGAUUUUAGUUGCCAGCAUUUAGUUGGGCACUCUAAAGUGACUGCCGGUGCAAGCCGGAGGAAGGUGGGGAUGACGUCAAAUCAUCAUGCCCCUUAUGACCUGGGCUACACACGUGCUACAAUGGAUAGUACAAAGGGUCGCGAAGCCGCGAGGUGGAGCUAAUCCCAUAAAACUAUUCUCAGUUCGGAUUGUAGGCUGCAACUCGCCUACAUGAAGCCGGAAUCGCUAGUAAUCGUGGAUCAGCAUGCCACGGUGAAUACGUUCCCGGGCCUUGUACACACCGCCCGUCACACCACGAGAGUUUGUAACACCCGAAGUCGGUAGGGUAACCUUUAUGGAGCCAGCCGCCGAAGGUGGGACAGAUAAUUGGGGUGAAGUCGUAACAAGGUAGCCGUAUCGGAAGGUGCGGCUGGAUCACCUCCUU
This 594-nucleotide ribosomal RNA is filed under the name Listeria monocytogenes. RNAcentral's name for it is "bacterial SSU rRNA". It matches the Rfam family "Bacterial small subunit ribosomal RNA", at positions 937 to 1532 of the family's 1533-position model. The record is from RNAcentral. Lineage: Bacteria; Bacillati; Bacillota; Bacilli; Caryophanales; Listeriaceae.